CAACCCUGGGUUCAAAUUCAGAUUCCCUCGCAGUAUUUGAACUUGAAUAAUUCACAUAAAACUCUGAACACCAGUUCCUCCUUGGAGAUGAGACUAAUACAUGGAAACCCCACAGCGUUACGGUUAGCAUUAGAAGAGAUCACCAAGGGAAAGUAUGUUGCAACCUCCAUGCAACGCGCUCCAGAAAUAUAUGACCUCUAGAUUGGUGGAUAGAUAGUACUUUUAAGCUCCUAGUUCAGCUCCAGGCAUAAAAUUGGAACUCAGAAAAAGUUCUAAAUGAAUCACAAAGAGAAGUUUCAAGCCGCUGGGUCAUACUGCCCCCUGGUGGUAGCCAAGAAACGUGCAGCGUCUCUGGCCUCCUGGGUAUUCUUGGAGCUGAUUGGGUAAGAUCAGGGUGGGCUGGGAACUCAGGGAAACCCAAGGUUCCCUCCCCAAGGGGCUCUUCCUUCUCACCUAAACACACAUAUUAUCCCCGGAUAUUCCUCAGCUUCAAUUCUUCGUUCCAAAAGGGCUGCUCUCCUUUCCAUAUGCCUUUCUCUUACCGCUUCUGCUGAUGCUGUUCUACUUCCCCACCGGUGGCUCAUCCAAACUCUAAAUCUCCUUCAGACCCGCUCAAAUCUCACCUCCUCCAGGAGGCCUCCCUGCAACCCACCAGCCAGGCUCUCCCUCAGCCUUUCUUAAACCUCUACAGAACUCACAGCCUGUACUUAAUUACAUGUUGUGUGCAGUUCUCUCCAAACUUUGAUUCCUUGAAUCAAAUUUCCUGGUUUUCUUAAUGUUUCCCUCAGUCUUCAGAGCAUGAACUGAAGAGAUGGUCCCGGUUCCUUAAAAGCUAUAUACGUUUCUGAGUGCCUAGGUACAGCAUGCUUAGAUAUAUGGGCCAGGUGCAGCACUGGGUACUUGUACAAACAUGCCUUCAAUCCUCAUGAUAAUUCUAAUGCAACUCUACUGCCAAUUACAUAUUUCAAUUUGUAGAGAAAAAACUGAGCCUCAGAAAGGUUAAGUAACUUGGUUAAAGUCACACGGCUACUAAGUGGUAGAGUAUGGGUUUGAGCCCAUGUGUGCCUAAUUACAAAUCCACAGAAUAAAUUCUGUCUCCCAUGCCAACUCUUCUCAAUGAUCAGCACCUGCCUGGCAUAGUGACUUGGGAAGGAAUUCAGAACACCGGGGCUUAGAGGGUUAAGUGGUGAAUUUGAUUAGUAAUGUCUGUCAUGCGUAAGAAAUGGAGAAUGGUGACACACAAGCUUUGUAUUUGCCAUCCAUUCUCUACCCCAUGCUGGAUGGGUCUAUAGGAGGAUAAUCCAUCUCAUUCUGGACAUAGAUUUAAGAAAGCAUGAGAACCUGUUUCAGGAGCUGCUGCCUCUCUCACUGCCAUGUGUGCAGCUGAUGAAAACCCUCCACGCACAACCUGAAACAUCCUGCCUCUCCCUGCGGACAGCUUGCUCCUCUGAUUCUCUGUCAUGCUCUGAGCUGGACUCCCAAGGUCACUGUCGCAUGCUGAAGUGUGUGCUCCAAAAUUCAUGUGUUGGAGUCCUACUGUCCAGUACCUGAGAAUGUGACUGUAUUUGGAGAUAUGGUCUUCAAGAGGUAAUGAAGGUGAAAUGUGGUCUUUGCUGGGGGUCCUAAUCCAGUAUGACUGGUCUCCUUGUAAGAAGAGGAGACAAGGACACAGGCAUGCACAGAGGAAAGACCACAUGAAAACAUUGCCACCUACAACCAAAGGAGAGAGGCUUCUGAAGAAAUUGACUCUGCCAACACCUUGAUCUUAGACUUUUAACCUCCAGAAGUGUGAGAAAAUUAAUUUCUGUCAUGUAAGCCAUCCAGUGCAUAGUACUAUGGCAACCCUAGCAGAUUAAUACAGGGUCAACUUCAUUCUUUUGCAUGCAUCUAUCCACAUGUCCCAAAAUCAUUUGUUGAAAAGACCAUUCUUUCCCCCA
Felis catus (domestic cat) is the source of this 1937-nucleotide long non-coding RNA. RefSeq lists it as uncharacterized. The record is from RefSeq and is a predicted model, not a curated record. Lineage: Eukaryota; Metazoa; Chordata; Mammalia; Carnivora; Felidae. The transcript has 2 exons.